GGAAUUUUCCGCAAUGGGCGAAAGCCUGACGGAGCAAUCUCGCGUGAGGGAUGACGGCCUAUGGGUUGUAAACCUCUUUUUUCAGGGAGGAAUCAAUGACGUGUACCUGAAGAAUAAGCAUCGGCUAACUCCGUGCCAGCAGCCGCGGUAAGACGGAGGAUGCAAGUGUUAUCCGGAAUCACUGGGCGUAAAGCGUCUGUAGGUGGUUUAAUAAGUCAACUGUUAAAUCUUGAAGCUUAACUUCAAAAUCGCAGUCGAAACUAUUAGACUAGAGUAUAGUAGGGGUAAAGGGAAUUUCCAGUGGAGCGGUGAAAUGCGUAGAGAUUGGAAAGAACACCGAUGGCGAAGGCACUUUACUGGGCUAUUACUAACACUCAGAGACGAAAGCUAGGGUAGCAAAUGGGAUUAGAUACCCCUGUAGUC
This 423-nucleotide ribosomal RNA is filed under the name uncultured eukaryotic phytoplankton. RNAcentral describes it as "bacterial SSU rRNA". It matches the Rfam family "Bacterial small subunit ribosomal RNA", at positions 358 to 795 of the family's 1533-position model. The record is from RNAcentral.